This 889-nucleotide long non-coding RNA is filed under the name Callithrix jacchus (white-tufted-ear marmoset). RNAcentral describes it as "lncRNA (ENSCJAG00000052729.2)". Lineage: Eukaryota; Metazoa; Chordata; Mammalia; Primates; Cebidae. The record is from RNAcentral.
UUCUCCAUCCAUAAAUCAGGGCAUUACAUGGUGUUAACUCAGGCAUUACUAGUAGUAUUGACUUUGAGUAAUUAGAUUUCUCAUUUAGAAUUCUCAUUUUGGCAUUCUACUGGUGAUUUUCUAUCCUUCAUACUUUCUACUAUUUUAAUUGAGUCUCUUCUCUAAAGAGUUGUGUCUUUUUCUUUCUUCCUCUCUUUCUUUGAUAAGCAGGGACUCAUGAGUGCUUAUUUUAUUCUUUAGGUUAUAAUUCAGUGUUAUCAUUACUGAUUUUGGUCCUCAAGGCAUUGUAAUAUUUGCUGUGGGAAAAUUUUUAGGUUAGUUCCCUAUGCACUUUUGACAUUCCCCUGUAGUCUUCUCUUUCUCCAGCACUGGAAUCAAUGAACUCUGCAAAGAUCCUGGACUCCUUCUCCUGCUGCAUAAUAAAGGUCAGACAGACCUGAAUUUGAUAGCAACAGAGCUUCAGCAAUAACAGCAGAUGCCAUCUUAGAUUAAUAUGGUGUCAGAAGUGGGAUCCAAAGUAGAGCUUCUAAUGAUCCCCAGGAAUGCUGAGUGACCAAAUGAGAUACCUGAUGGAGUCACUUGUGUCCACUUUCAGGACAGCUGAGGAUUUGUGGGUUGGCACUUUGACAUGUAUCAUGAAGGCCAUAAAAAUUGGUUCCCAAGAAAGAAACAGGAACAUCGUAGGGGGCAGAAGAAGAAAGAUGCUCAUUUUCCUGAGGAAGCAGGAUAGAAGACUCUCUUUACUUCACCUUGUAUGCAUAAAGAACAUAAAGGAAGAUGUGGCUAAACUGGUUAUCUUUUGGAGAUAGUUACUGAUAUCUGAGGACAUUGUUCAUAAUACUUGCCAGAGGUUGACUCUAGAGAUGGUGGUCAAGUGUUUCAGAAAAAG